GGCAACCCGUUGGGGUCCCCUUCCAGUCUGUGGAAACUUUGUUCUCUGCAAUAAAUCUUGCCGCUGCUCGCUCUUUGGGUCCACAUUGCUUUUUUGAGCUGUAACACUCAUCGCGGAGGUCUGCAGCUUCACUCCUGAAGCCAGCGAGACCACGAGCCCACCGGGAGGAACCAACAACUCCAGACAGGCUGCCUUAAGAGCUGUAACACUCACCGCAAAGGUCUGCAGCUUCACUCCUGAGCCAGCGAGACCACGAACCCACCAGGAGGAAUAAACUCCAAACACAUCCGAACGUCAGAAGGAACGAACUCCAGACGCGCCACCUUAAGAGCUGUAACACUCACCCGGAGGGUCCGCGGUUUCAUUCUUGAAGUCAGUGAGACCAAGAACCCACCAAUUCUGGACACGCUGGAUCCAGGUGCUCAAAAAGAUCAUCAUCUUGAAGGGAGCUAUGUGGCAAGAUUGGCAAGGGGGCCAUGGAAGGCUUUGGAAGGAGCUAAUAUUUGGGCUGAGACCCUGCAGGUGAGUAGUUGGUCCAGCAGGCAGAAAGUUGGGAUGGUGUUUCCCUGGCACAGGACUGGCCUGUGUGUGUGCAUGGAUGCCAGAGAACAUGCUCCAUGACAGCUGGGCUCUGAGCCAGCUGGAACAAGCAGAAGAAACGUGUGUGAGUGAACAGGCAGGCACGCCACACUCUGCCUCCCAGGCUAUAACAAGAAA
Molecule: long non-coding RNA, 717 nt
Filed under: Homo sapiens (human)
Lineage: Eukaryota; Metazoa; Chordata; Mammalia; Primates; Hominidae
Description: HSALNT0318811
Source: RNAcentral